This 546-nucleotide ribosomal RNA is filed under the name uncultured bacterium. RNAcentral describes it as "bacterial SSU rRNA". It matches the Rfam family "Bacterial small subunit ribosomal RNA", at positions 29 to 563 of the family's 1533-position model. The record is from RNAcentral.
AUGAACGCUAGCGGCAGGCUUAACACAUGCAAGUCGGGCGGCAGCGGGGUGGGAGCUUGCUCCCACUGCCGGCGAGCGGCGCACGGGUGAGUAACACGUAUGCAACCUGCCCCUGUCAGGGGGACAACCCGCCGAAAGGCGGGCUAAGCCCGCGUAUAUCGCCCCGGGGCAUCCCGGGGGGAGGAAAGGAGCGAUCCGGACAGGGAUGGGCAUGCGGCGCAUUAGCUGGUCGGCGGGGUAACGGCCCACCGAGGCGACGAUGCGUAGGGGUUCUGAGAGGAAGGCCCCCCACACUGGUACUGAGACACGGACCAGACUCCUACGGGAGGCAGCAGUGAGGAAUAUUGGUCAAUGGGCGGGAGCCUGAACCAGCCAAGCCGCGUGAGGGAAGAAGGUACAGCGUAUCGUAAACCUCUUUUGUCAGGGAACAAAGGCGGGGACUAGUCCCCGGAUGAGGGUACCUGAAGAAAAAGCAUCGGCUAACUCCGUGCCAGCAGCCGCGGUAAUACAGAGGAUGCCAGCGUUAUCCGGAUUUAUUGGGUUUAA